CCUACGGGAGGCAGCAGUGAGGAAUAUUGGUCAAUGGGCGUAAGCCUGAACCAGCCAAGUCGCGUGAGGGAUGAAGGUUCUAUGGAUCGUAAACCUCUUGUAUAAGGGAAUAAAGUGUGGGACGUGUCCUAUUUUGUAUGUACCUUAUGAAUAAGGAUCGGCUAACUCCGUGCCAGAAGCCGCGGUAAUACGGAGGGUGCGAGCGUUAAUCGGAAUUACGGGGCGGAAAGCGCUCGUAGGCGGUAUGUAAAGUCAAGGGUGAAAUCCCCGCGCGAAACGUGGGAACUGCCUUUGAAACUGGCAAACUGGAGUGUGUGAGAGGAUAGUGGAAUUCCAGGUGUAGGAGUGAAAUCCGUAGAUAUCUGGAGGAACAUCAGUGUCGAAGGCGACUAUCUGGCACAUAACUGACGCUGAGGAGCGAAAGCGUGGGUAGCAAACAGGAUUAGAUACCCCAGUAGUC
RNAcentral lists this ribosomal RNA (460 nucleotides) under uncultured bacterium. Its description in RNAcentral is "partial 16S ribosomal RNA". It matches the Rfam family "Bacterial small subunit ribosomal RNA", at positions 338 to 795 of the family's 1533-position model. The record is from RNAcentral.